GGGAGUAACAGGCUGAUACCGCCCAAGAGUUCAUAUCGACGGCGGUGUUUGGCACCUCGAUGUCGGCUCAUCACAUCCUGGGGCUGAAGUAGGUCCCAAGGGUAUGGCUGUUCGCCAUUUAAAGUGGUACGCGAGCUGGGUUUAGAACGUCGUGAGACAGUUCGGUCCCUAUCUGCCGUGGGCGCUGGAGAACUGAGGGGGGCUGCUCCUAGUACGAGAGGACCGGAGUGGACGCAUCACUGGUGUUCGGGUUGUCAUGCCAAUGGCACUGCCCGGUAGCUAAAUGCGGAAGAGAUAAGUGCUGAAAGCAUCUAAGCACGAAACUUGCCCCGAGAUGAGUUCUCCCUGAGACUUUAGGUCUCCUGAAGGAACGUUGAAGACGACGACGUUGAUAGGCCGGGUGUGUAAGCGCAGCGAUGCGUUGAGCUAACCGGUACUAAUGAACCGUGAGGCUUAACCUUACAACGCCGAAG
This 473-nucleotide ribosomal RNA is filed under the name Salmonella enterica subsp. enterica serovar Berta str. SA20103550. Its description in RNAcentral is "bacterial LSU rRNA". It matches the Rfam family "Bacterial large subunit ribosomal RNA", at positions 2470 to 2925 of the family's 2925-position model. The record is from RNAcentral. Lineage: Bacteria; Pseudomonadati; Pseudomonadota; Gammaproteobacteria; Enterobacterales; Enterobacteriaceae.